UACGUAGGGGGCAAGCGUUGUCCGGAUUUAUUGGGCGUAAAGAGCGUGUAGGCGGCCAGGUAGGUCCGUUGUGAAAACUCGAGGCUCAACCUCGAGACGUCGGCGGAAACCCUCUGGCUAGAGUCCGGAAGAGGAGAGUGGAAUUCCUGGUGUAGCGGUGAAAUGCGCAGAUAUCAGGAAGAACACCUAUGGCGAAGGCAGCUCUCUGGGACGGUACUGACGCUGAGACGCGAAAGCGUGGGGAGCGAACAGG
Molecule: ribosomal RNA, 253 nt
Filed under: uncultured bacterium
Lineage: Bacteria
Description: partial 16S ribosomal RNA
Rfam family: Bacterial small subunit ribosomal RNA
Source: RNAcentral